RNAcentral lists this ribosomal RNA (253 nucleotides) under uncultured bacterium. Its description in RNAcentral is "partial 16S ribosomal RNA". It matches the Rfam family "Bacterial small subunit ribosomal RNA", at positions 524 to 776 of the family's 1533-position model. The record is from RNAcentral.
UACGUAGGGUGCGAGCGUUAAUAGGAAUUACUGGGCGUAAAGCGUGCGCAGGCGGCUCUUCAAGUCAGAUGUGAAAGCCCCGGGCUUAACCUGGGAAUGGCGUUUGAAACUGGAGGGCUGGAGUGUGGCAGAGGGAGGUGGAAUUCCACGUGUAGCAGUGAAAUGCGUAGAGAUGUGGAGGAACGCCGAUGGCGAAGGCAGCCUCCUGGGCCAACACUGACGCUCAUGCACGAAAGCGUGGGGAGCAAACAGG